Molecule: long non-coding RNA, 1320 nt
Organism: Glossina fuscipes
Lineage: Eukaryota; Metazoa; Arthropoda; Insecta; Diptera; Glossinidae
Exons: 2
Source: RefSeq, a predicted model, not a curated record
GAAAUAAUGAAAUAAUCGUACUUUUAUAAAAUGAGAGGUGACAUAUACCCAAGUUUAGUUACUAGCAAUUCUAUUUAUGUUUCAUUUCGUAGAAAAAAUAUUUAUAUAUUUAUUAAACACCCUUUCAAAGUUUCAAUUGAUAUUCGUUUAUACAGAUUAUACAUGCCCGUAAUUAUUUCCAAAAAAUUGUUGAUCUUCUUUAACACUGCAAAAUUUAUUGGGGAAAGCUCUUUGAUCCUCGAAAAUCAUUACUUAAACUUUCGAUGCGUAGAGUUUCGGCUCUCUGAAAAUCCUCUCAUUGUAUAAGACAAAAAAUGAACUUUCUUUAAAUUCAGUUAUGAAAUUAUGUAAUAACUUAUGUAUAUUAAUCACCAGCUCUACAAUACCGCAACGUAUGUAAAACUGCUAGCUAGUUUGAGCUCUUUUAAGACUUUAUAAUGCGCAUUUUUCUUUAAAAUUGCACAAAUUUAUAACCUCAGUUUUACAAGAACCUAAAUAAAUAGAAUCGUAUUACUUAUCCUUGAAGCUAAUGAAAUACAAUUUUAAUCGGGUUGGACAGUAAGUCUAUUGAUUAUUUGACUGUAACAGUCUACAAAAGCGUAUGCUAACAAUGUCUUACAAGUUCUCAUGGCAUUUAUAUCUUUAAAAAAAGUAUUGCAAAACUUUUUACACUUUUUUUUAGAAAACAUAUGAAUUUAAAACAAUGUGUUCGGGCACUUUGGAUUUUGGAACCGUGUGUUUUGUGGACUAUCGAAUAUUGAUAGCAGACAGGUGGAUAUGGUUAGUUACAAAGGGUUUAUGAAAAAGAAAAGUUCUUUCAAAAACCGUAAUUAUGUGCUAAAAGCCAAUUGUUUUCCUGAAAACAUCAAAUACAUUUUCAUGGCAUAUGAAGAUUAACACUUGCAAGAAACAUUCAGGAGCUGCAAUUAUUAAAAUUUUGUUUUCGCAAUGUAAAUAACAUGCAAACUUGGAAUUAGAUCAAUGUUAUUAUUUCGCUGAUUUAAGCUAAAGAUAUGUGCUAAAAACCCAACAGGGCAUAAUUAAUUUGUAGCGUGGAUUUAAGGUAUAAUUUUAAUUGUAGCCAUGCUUGUUAAACACUAUAUAGAAAUCCGAGACAAAAUCCUUGCUUCUUCGUCGAUAAUGUUUACUGUUGCUGUUGCUGAUGAAGAGGAUCUUAGGAACAGCAGCAACAACGCUAGUAAGCCGUGUAAGCAGAAAUAAACGGGGGGCGAUUGGCGUAAUUUUUACACAUUAAUAAGAUCCGUGCCGUACUACCCGUGAGCCAAAUGUGUUUGGUGACUAGCAAAAAACCAAAUUGAA